GACGAACGCUGGCGGCGUGCCUAAUACAUGCAAGUCGAACGCUGAAGGAGGAGCUUGCUUCUCUGGAUGAGUUGCGAACGGGUGAGUAACGCGUAGGUAACCUGCCUGGUAGCGGGGGAUAACUAUUGGAAACGAUAGCUAAUACCGCAUAAUAGUAGAUGUUGCAUGACAUUUGCUUAAAAGGUGCAAUUGCAUCACUACCAGAUGGACCUGCGUUGUAUUAGCUAGUUGGUGGGGUAACGGCUCACCAAGGCGACGAUACAUAGCCGACCUGAGAGGGGGGUCGGCCGCCUUGGGCGGGGGACAGGGCCCAGACUCCUACGGGAGGGAGCAGUAGGGAAUGUUCGGCAAUGGACGGAAGUCUGGCCGAACAGGGCCGCGUGAGGGACGAAGGUUUCCGGAUCGUAAAGCUCGGUUGUAGGUGAAGAACGGGUGUGAGAGUGGAAGGUUCACACUGUGACGGUAUCUGAACAAAAAGGAACGGCUAACUACGUG
This 495-nucleotide ribosomal RNA is filed under the name uncultured bacterium. Its description in RNAcentral is "partial 16S ribosomal RNA". It matches the Rfam family "Bacterial small subunit ribosomal RNA", at positions 28 to 507 of the family's 1533-position model. The record is from RNAcentral.